This 293-nucleotide unclassified non-coding RNA is filed under the name Hevea brasiliensis (rubber tree). The record is from RNAcentral. Lineage: Eukaryota; Viridiplantae; Streptophyta; Magnoliopsida; Malpighiales; Euphorbiaceae.
GUGGAAUUUCUGGUUGAGAACUUGAUGCAGUUGCUGCGGGACAACGUAGAGCUAAUUAGUGGAGUUAAAGAGGCUGCUGAGAGUCUACUUCAAGAUCUAAAUGAUUUCAAUGCUUUUCUUAAGCAAGCUGCCAAGUGUCACAUCAACGAGAACGAAGUCCUCAGAGAACUUGUUAAGAAAAUAAGAACAGUCGUUAACUCUGCUGAAGAUGCUAUUGAUAAAUUUGUUAUUGAAGCUAAGCUACACAAGGAUAAGGGUGUCACCAGAGUAUUAGAUCUUCCCCAUUAUAAAAG